This 255-nucleotide ribosomal RNA is filed under the name uncultured bacterium. Its description in RNAcentral is "partial 16S ribosomal RNA". It matches the Rfam family "Bacterial small subunit ribosomal RNA", at positions 524 to 776 of the family's 1533-position model. The record is from RNAcentral.
UACGUAGGGUGCGAGCGUUAAUCGGAAUUACUGGGCGUAAAGUGUGCGCAGGCGGCCGCGCAAGUCGAGUGUGAAAGCCCCGGGCUUAACUUGGGAAUUGCGCUCGAAACUACGUGGCUGGAGUGUGGCAGAGGAAGGUGGAAUUCCAGGUGUAGCGGUGAAAUGCGUAGAGAUCUGGAGGAACACCGAUGGCGAAGGCAGCCUUCUGGGCCAACACUGACGCGUCAUCGCACGAAAGCGUGGGGAGCAAACAGG